This 380-nucleotide ribosomal RNA is filed under the name uncultured bacterium. RNAcentral's name for it is "bacterial SSU rRNA". It matches the Rfam family "Bacterial small subunit ribosomal RNA", at positions 503 to 882 of the family's 1533-position model. The record is from RNAcentral.
ACGUGCCAGCAGCCGCGGUAAUACGUAGGUGGCAAGCGUUAUCCGGAAUUAUUGGGCGUAAAGCGCGCGCAGGCGGUCUCUUAAGUCUGAUGUGAAAGCCCACGGCUCAACCGUGGAGGGUCAUUGGAAACUGGGAGACUUGAGUGCAGGAGAGAAAAGUGGAAUUCCACGUGUAGCGGUGAAAUGCGUAGAGAUGUGGAGGAACACCAGUGGCGAAGGCGGCUUUUUGGCCUGUAACUGACGCUGAGGCGCGAAAGCGUGGGGAGCAAACAGGAUUAGAUACCCUGGUAGUCCACGCCGUAAACGAUGAGUGCUAGGUGUUGGGGGGUUCCACCCUCAGUGCUGAAGUUAACACAUUAAGCAUCUCCGCCUGGGGAGUC